GUGCACCAGUCGAGAAAACUCCGCAAUGCUCGAAAGAGUGACGGGGGGAUUCCAAGUGCCUACGCUUAGCGUAGGCUGUUCAGAUGCCUAAAAAGCAUCUGGAGUAAGGGCUGGGUAAGACGGGUGCCAUCUGCAGUGGUAAUGAAAACUUGCUACUGCAAGGCAUAAGCCGCCGCGGUAAUACCCGCAGCCCGAGUGGUAGUCGCUUUUAUUGGGCCUAAAGCGUCCGUAGCCGGUCUGGUAAAUGCCUGGGGUAAAUCGUGGGGCCUAACCUCACGAACUCCGGGUAGACUGCCAGACUUGGGACCGGUUUGAGGGAGAGGGUACUCCAGGGGUAGGGGUGAAAUCCUGUAAUCCUUGGAGGACCACCGGUGGCGAAAGCGCUCUCCUAGGACGGGUCCAGGUGAGGGGACGAAAGCCAGGGGAGCAAACCGGGAUUAGAUACCCCGGUAGU
Molecule: ribosomal RNA, 454 nt
Filed under: uncultured microorganism
Description: bacterial SSU rRNA
Rfam family: Archaeal small subunit ribosomal RNA
Source: RNAcentral